GGCCUCUGGUAACAGCAGGCCGCAUGGCAAGCCUCAUCGGGAGCAAGGCCAAGCAGAUGGCGGUAAGGGCUGCUCGCCCAUGUCAUCGGGUAGGCUGCUAGAGCCUGACGGCAACGUCAGGUCGAGAUGGAUGGCCAUCCGUGCCGCGCGUUCGUGUACGGCAUGACAGAACCCGGGGUAUAAGAGGUCUCAUUUA
This 196-nucleotide RNase P RNA is filed under the name Bifidobacterium breve. RNAcentral's name for it is "partial RNase P RNA component class A". It matches the Rfam family "Bacterial RNase P class A", at positions 181 to 367 of the family's 367-position model. Rfam says of the family: Ribonuclease P (RNase P) is a ubiquitous endoribonuclease, found in archaea, bacteria and eukarya as well as chloroplasts and mitochondria. The record is from RNAcentral. Lineage: Bacteria; Bacillati; Actinomycetota; Actinomycetes; Bifidobacteriales; Bifidobacteriaceae.